Molecule: ribosomal RNA, 2896 nt
Filed under: Promethearchaeota archaeon
Lineage: Archaea; Promethearchaeati; Promethearchaeota
Also listed under: 1 other name
Description: bacterial LSU rRNA
Rfam family: Archaeal large subunit ribosomal RNA
Source: RNAcentral
UGCAUAGUGGAUGUCUCGGCUUAGUAUUCGAAGAAGGGCGUGACAAGCUGCGAUAAGCUCCGGGUAGGUGCACGUAACCGUUGAUCCGGAGAUUCCCGAAUGUGACAUCAUGGUUAGGGUAAUGCCUUUCCAUCCCCGUCAGGGGAGGGGAACGCGCUGAAGCGAAGCAUCAUAAUAAGCGCAGGAAAAGAAAGCAAUAGCGAUUCCGUGAGUAGCGGCGAGCGAAAACGGAAGAGGCCAAACCGAAUUCUCCGAUGAAAGUCGGCGGAGAUGUGGAGUGUGGACUCGUGUCGAGCCUCCGUGAAGAAGUUGAACCUUUCUGGAAUGUUAGACCAUAGAGGGUGACAGUCCCGUAAACGUAAAUCACAAGGCUUAUGGCGAGUAUCCCGAGUAGCGCGGGAUGGUUGUUCCGUGUGAAUGUGCCUGGUACCGACAGGCAAGCCUAAAUAUAACCUAAGACCGAUAGCGCAUUAGUACUGUGAAGGAAAGAUGAAAAGCACCCAGGAAUGGUUGUGAAAAGUGCCUGAAACUAUGCAGUGAAGAGUGAAGCAGUCUGAAAGAAAUAAUGCUUAUCGAAGUUCGUACACGUGAGUGUGGUAACGAGAUGAGCGGAUCAGGAUUGCUUCUUUAUUCUCGAAACAUUAGCCAGGGAGCUUAUGUUAGUGGCGAGAUUAAGGGGAUCACCCCCGGAGUCGCAGGGAAACCGAUACAUUCGCAACUUCUUUUGAAGUGAGGAAUGCGGUGUGAAAGCGCCUAUAGUCACUGAUGUAAUGCCCGAAGUCGGACGAUCUAGGCCUGGUCAGGGCGAAGUGCGGGGAAACCCGCAUGGAGGUCCGAUAUCGUUCUGACGUGCAAUUCGUUGAGUUGAACUGGGUCUAGGCGGAAAAGCCAAAUCUAGUCCGAGGAUGGCUGGUUCCCCUCGAAGCUGCUCAAAGGCAGGCCUCAUACGAGAGUGAUUGUGGUGUAGAGCACUAAUUCGCUUGGUACGGGGAGUAAAAUCCUCGCCGGCUUCUUAAACUCCGAAGCUGCAAUCCUUGUAGACUAUGGGAGACGGCUUACCCGCGGUAAGCGUGGGUAGCGAGAGAGAAACAACUCAGACCUCGGUUAAGGUCCCAAAGUGUAGACUAAGUGUUAAACCGAAUGGCGUCAUUUUUCGAAGACAGCAAAAAGGUAGGCUCAGAAACAGCCACCCUACAAUGAGUACGUAACAGUUCAUUUGCUAAGAAAAAUGGCCCAGAAAAUGGACGGGGCUCAAGUCUACCACCGAUACCGGGGGGCAUACUCAGUAAAGAGUAUGAUCCGGUAGAGGGGCGUGGGGCAUGAGAUAAAGUCCGGUUGUGAAAUCGGAUGAAUCGUGCUCCAGUGCAGAUCCUGGCAGUAGUAACAGCUGAGAUACGUGAAAAUCGUAUCCGCCGAAAGGCCAAGGGUUUCUUGGCAAUACGUCGUUAGCCAAGAGUUAGUCGUUCCUAAGGUCAUUCUUAACCGUCUUGACCGAAAGGGAAACAGAUUUAUAUUUCUGUACUUGGAAGUUAGGUAUUCGGCGACGAACGGGGGAUUGGUGACAGAAGUGGAUAGUUCGAGCGGGAUUGUCGGUCCCGUUUAAAUGUAUACCUCUGGGGUGUGCCUUUGCGGCGAGAACCAGACAAAAGCAUGAAUAGCCGCCUUAUUGUGGGCGGUUCGAGACGACUCCAAUUCUCAAUGAAAAGCCAAUCUUCAACGAACUUCUAAGACGUACCCAGAACCGACACAGGUGUGCCCAAGGUGAGAAGCCUCAGGCGUGUGGAAUUACGGGUUGUUAGGGAAAUCGGCAAAAUGGAGCGGAACCUUCGGAAGAACGCUUGCUUGGAGCCUUUGCGAAAGCGGGGGGCUCUAAGUUGCAAUAACUAGUAUCACCCGACUGUUAAAUACAAACAUAGCUUUCUGCAAGACCGAAAGGUUGUGUACAGAAAGUGAAUCCUGCCCAGUGCAAGUCAGUCAAAACCGGGUCCAACCGGAAUAAGCUCUUGUAAACGGCGGGAGUAACUAUAACUCUCUUAAGGUAGCCAAAUGCCUUGUCGUAUAAGUAACGACGUGCAUGAACGGACCAACGCGGUGGUAACUGUCCCAACAUCCUACUCCGUGAACCUACAGGACGGCGAACGGUCCGUCACGCACCGUUGGGAAGAGAAGACCCCAUGGAGUUUUACUGCAGCUUGUUCUUGACAUACUCUGAUACAUGCAGAGUGUAGCUGGGAGCGUCGAUGCUAUGCUUUCGGGUAUAGCGGAGCGACAAUGGAACACCAGCCUUGUAUUGGGGCAUGUCUAACUUGCAAGUCGCUUGCGAGGACAGGUGCAGGUGGGCAGUUUCGGUGGGGCGCCAGAGCUUGGAAAAGAUAUCCAAGCUACCCUAAGGUCAACUCAACCGGGACAGAAAUCCGGUGAAGAGUGGAAAGGCAAAAGUUGGCCUGAUGGGACCCUUGACAGCAAGGGGUCCCGAGACGAAAGUCUGGCUUAACGAUCUUUCAUUAACCUUUGGUAGGUGGUGGAAGUGAUAGAAAAAUUACCCUGGGGGUAACAGAGUUGUCGCAGGCAAGAGUUCAUAUCGACCCUGCGGCUUGCUUCCUCGAUGUCGGCUCUUCCUAUCCUGGCCAUGCAGCAGUGGCCAAGGGUGGGGCUGUACGCCCAUUAAAAGGGAACGUGAGCUGGGUUUAGACCGUCGUGAGACAGGUCGGAUUCUAUCUAACGGUGCUGUUGGGAGUUUGAGAGCAGCGUGCGUCCAGUACGAGAGGAACAACGCGCGGUCGCCUCUGGUGAGGGGUUGUUCGACAGAGCAUGCCCCACAGCUACGCGGCAAAUCAUAAACGCUGAAAGCAUCUAAGCGUGAAGGAUGCCUCGAAACGAGACUCCCAAUCAAGAA